UUAAGUCAAAUUUGUAUGGAGUUGGAACGUUUGCCUAUGUUUGCCGAUUCUGUUCCAGCUGCAUACAAAUCUCAGGUA
Molecule: microRNA precursor, 78 nt
Filed under: Bombyx mori (domestic silkworm)
Lineage: Eukaryota; Metazoa; Arthropoda; Insecta; Lepidoptera; Bombycidae
Description: mir-2807 microRNA precursor family
Rfam family: mir-2807 microRNA precursor family
Source: Rfam by way of RNAcentral